AGAGUUUGAUCAUGGCUCAGAUUGAACGCUGGCGGCAGGCCUAACACAUGCAAGUCGAACGGUAACAGGAAGAAGCUUGCUUCUUUGCUGACGAGUGGCGGACGGGUGAGUAAUGUCUGGGAAACUGCCUGAUGAGGGGGAUAACUACUGGAAACGGUAGCUAAUACCGCAUAACGUCGCAAGACCAAAGAGGGGGACCUUCGGGCCUCUUGCCAUCGGAUGUGCCCAGAUGGGAUUAGCUUGUUGGUGGGGUAACGGCUCACCAAGGCGACGAUCCCUAGCUGGUCUGAGAGGAUGACCAGCCACACUGGAACUGAGACACGGUCCAGACUCCUACGGGAGGCAGCAGUGGGGAAUAUUGCACAAUGGGCGCAAGCCUGAUGCAGCCAUGCCGCGUGUAUGAAGAAGGCCUUCGGGUUGUAAAGUACUUUCAGCGGGGAGGAAGGGAGUAAAGUUAAUACCUUUACUCAUUGACGUUACCCGCAGAAGAAGCACCGGCUAACUCCGUGCCAGCAGCCGCGGUAAUACGGAGGGUGCAAGCGUUAAUCGGAAUUACUGGGCGUAAAGCGCACGCAGGCGGUUUGUUAAGUCAGAUGUGAAAUCCCCGGGCUCAACCUGGGAACUGCAUCUGAUACUGGCAAGCUUGAGUCUCGUAGAGGGGGGUAGAAUUCCAGGUGUAGCGGUGAAAUGCGUAGAGAUCUGGAGGAAUACCGGUGGCGAAGGCGGCCCCCUGGACGAAGACUGACGCUCAGGUGCGAAAGCGUGGGGAGCAAACAGGAUUAGAUACCCUGGUAGUCCACGCCGUAAACGAUGUCGACUUGGAGGUUGUGCCCUUGAGGCGUGGCUUCCGGAGCUAACGCGUUAAGUCGACCGCCUGGGGAGUACGGCCGCAAGGUUAAAACUCAAAUGAAUUGACGGGGGCCCGCACAAGCGGUGGAGCAUGUGGUUUAAUUCGAUGCAACGCGAAGAACCUUACCUGGUCUUGACAUCCACGGAAGUUUUCAGAGAUGAGAAUGUGCCUUCGGGAACCGUGAGACAGGUGCUGCAUGGCUGUCGUCAGCUCGUGUUGUGAAAUGUUGGGUUAAGUCCCGCAACGAGCGCAACCCUUAUCCUUUGUUGCCAGCGGUCCGGCCGGGAACUCAAAGGAGACUGCCAGUGAUAAACUGGAGGAAGGUGGGGAUGACGUCAAGUCAUCAUGGCCCUUACGACCAGGGCUACACACGUGCUACAAUGGCGCAUACAAAGAGAAGCGACCUCGCGAGAGCAAGCGGACCUCAUAAAGUGCGUCGUAGUCCGGAUUGGAGUCUGCAACUCGACUCCAUGAAGUCGGAAUCGCUAGUAAUCGUGGAUCAGAAUGCCACGGUGAAUACGUUCCCGGGCCUUGUACACACCGCCCGUCACACCAUGGGAGUGGGUUGCAAAAGAAGUAGGUAGCUUAACCUUCGGGAGGGCGCUUACCACUUUGUGAUUCAUGACUGGGGUGAAGUCGUAACAAGGUAACCGUAGGGGAACCUGCGGUUGGAUCACCU
RNAcentral lists this ribosomal RNA (1529 nucleotides) under Escherichia coli STEC_DG131-3. RNAcentral's name for it is "bacterial SSU rRNA". It matches the Rfam family "Bacterial small subunit ribosomal RNA". Lineage: Bacteria; Pseudomonadati; Pseudomonadota; Gammaproteobacteria; Enterobacterales; Enterobacteriaceae. The record is from RNAcentral.